GGCGCAACGGCAUUUAAGUUUCGAGACUUCUCCGUUUAAUUCUCUGAUUUUCAUCUCUGUUUCGUGCAUAAAGACAACUUUUGGAUGUCCAGCCAGAGAUGUUUUUCACAAAAGUAUAAUGACAAGUACUGAGCGAUGGAUUCAAUUCUCCUCAUCACCAUCCCCAUUUCCAAGCAAGAACCAGCAAGAUCUAGAAUAUCUAGACUGCAUCAUCAGAAUGUUUUUCCUUGUGUAGCGAAAAGUGCUGAGCUAUGGAUUCACUUCACCUCAACGCCAUCCCCAAUUUCUAGGAAGGAUCAAUUCAUAUUGUGAACUUAUAGAGGUUGUGCUGUAGACCAUGAUCCGGUCCAUGUAAAGUUGACCAGAGGGACACGUAAAGACGUUACGGAGCGGGAGCCGCAAGAUUGGGGCAAGAAAUGGCGUGGUAACCAACGACAGCGCCAAAGAAUGACAGGGUGAGGACAGUAGAUACAUCUACCACCAUUCUGACAGCAGACUUACACAAGGCCUGUUUCAAGAUCAGGGGCGUGGCUGUCACUAAGGUUGUCCAAGAGAGACCCGAUGCUAUAUUACUGUUGAAAAAGACAAAGCGGUUUGGUUUGGCAUGCCUAAGUAUUGACUGACAAAUAGUCAAAAAGCAUAGUUUUAAGAUUGGAGGACAGGGAUGUCACAGAGGUCUGGAAAAACCAUUGCUAAUUAGGAUGCACUCACAUCUGGAACACCUGCUGUGAAGAAGGGCUGGGUACGCAACAAGAAAGCACCUCAACGGAAAAUCAGUGGUAACUGAAGCUGGUAGAGCGCUGUGACAUCUCUCGUAAACAAGCUGGGUUAUAGACAAGGAUCAAUCAACCAAGUUCAGAUGUCUUGAACACGAUAGGGCCCCUUCCAUUCUGACUGGAAAAGACAUCUCUCAUCUAUGGUUUCUGCAUGAUCAAGGGUAUCCACAGUUUCUUUGCUGGGAUAAUGGAAAGCAGUGGAAUUCCUGUCCUUGUCAAGGACCUAAAUAUUUGAUGACAUCAUUCCGUCAUAUAUUGCAAUGUCCACCAGUAAUUUUAUGCAGACUUAAGUUUUGCUUUGAAGCAAUAUCAGUGCUACACUUGUGAAGCAGUGGCAGUGUUCAGGUCUUGCCUGCCUCGAUGACAUAUCUGCAUACCAGCAGUUAUGUGCAGACUUGGCUCUUUCUUUGGAGCAGUACAGUUGCAAGAUAAAUCCUGUUUGUAAUUUUAUAAAUUUGUUGCUCAUUAAGGGCUUACGAAGGUUUUGAUGCCUUGCUGGCAUAUCUGCAUACCAGUAAAUAUGUGCAGAUUCAUUUCUUGCUUUGAAGCAAUAUCGUUGCUACACUCCUAAAGCAGUGGCAAUGUUCAGGUCUGUUCUGCCUCACGGGCAAAUCUGCAUACCAGUAAUUAUGUGCAGAAUUGGCUCUUCCAGAGAUUGUAGGACUGGGUCCAUUGAAUGUAACAAAAAUAAUCGAUGCCUAUUUACAAAUGAAAUGAAGAGUCUGCAUUUUGAUGCAACUCCAUAUAACUGUGUGGUGAUUUCGCUCUGGGCUUGUGACAUUCUGAUCGGUCUGAAAUAAUCAUUGUCGCCCAUCCCUCAAUUUGAGGCCUGUGUCCCGAUGGUGGCGUUGAAUGGCAAAAUCAAAGGGGCAUGACGGCGGUUAAACCUAUUGCGAAUGGGCAGCAUCACAACCAGUUCUGAGAUCUGGGGGUGGUGUAGGAUAUCUGGUUACCACGC
Molecule: long non-coding RNA, 1734 nt
Organism: Lineus longissimus
Lineage: Eukaryota; Metazoa; Nemertea; Pilidiophora; Heteronemertea; Lineidae
Exons: 7
Source: RefSeq, a predicted model, not a curated record